This 253-nucleotide ribosomal RNA is filed under the name uncultured bacterium. RNAcentral's name for it is "partial 16S ribosomal RNA". It matches the Rfam family "Bacterial small subunit ribosomal RNA", at positions 524 to 776 of the family's 1533-position model. The record is from RNAcentral.
UACGUAGGCAGCAAGCGUUGUUCGGAAUUACUGGGCGUAAAGGGCGCGUAGGCGGAUGGCUAAGUUUGGUGUGAAAUCUCCCGGCUUAACUGGGAGGGUGCGCCGAAAACUGGCUGGCUAGAGUGCGGGAGAGGGAAGUGGAAUUCCUGGUGUAGCGGUGAAAUGCGUAGAUAUCAGGAGGAACACCUGAGGUGUAGACGGCUUCCUGGACCAUUACUGACGCUGAGGCGCGAAAGCGUGGGGAGCAAACAGG